UACGGAGGGUGCAAGCGUUGUCCGGAAUCAUUGGGCGUAAAGCGCGUGUAGGCGGCCUCGUCAGUCCGCUCUGAAAGCCUGGGGCUCAACCCCAGGAGGCGGGUGGAUACUGCGAGGCUCGAGUACGGAAGAGGCGAGUGGAAUUCCCGGUGUAGCGGUGAAAUGCGCAGGUAUCGGGAGGAACACCAAUGGCGAAGGCAGCUCGCUGGGACGUUACUGACGCUGAGACGCGAAAGCGUGGGGAGCAAACAGG
Molecule: unclassified non-coding RNA, 253 nt
Filed under: uncultured Solirubrobacteraceae bacterium
Lineage: Bacteria; Bacillati; Actinomycetota; Thermoleophilia; Solirubrobacterales; Solirubrobacteraceae
Description: contains 16S-23S intergenic spacer region
Rfam family: Bacterial small subunit ribosomal RNA
Source: RNAcentral